RNAcentral lists this long non-coding RNA (1380 nucleotides) under Musa acuminata (dwarf banana). Its description in RNAcentral is "long non-coding RNA (MACU_LNC006872)". The record is from RNAcentral. Lineage: Eukaryota; Viridiplantae; Streptophyta; Magnoliopsida; Zingiberales; Musaceae.
CCACGGGCGUGUGGAGGUGAUGCUACCGACGGAGCUGGUGAUGGGGAUGAUGCUGUGGGUGGUGGUGGAGAUGAUGACACGGGCGCUGGAGGUGAUGCUACCGACGGAGCUGGUGAUGGGGAUGAUACUGUGGGUGGUGGUGGUGAGUAUACAGGGGAUGAAGGAGAGUGUACUGGUGGUGAUGAUUGAGAUGACGCUAUGGGUGGUGGUGGUGGUGAAUUGAUUGAAGGUGGUGGUUGAGAUGAUGAUCCAGACGGUGGGGGUGGUGGUGAGUUGACUGUAGGAGGUGGAGAAGAAACCGGUGGUGGUGGUAUUACUACUUGUGGAGGUGGAGAUCGGAGCUCUGGUUGGGAUGGCGACGGAGCAAGAGGCGGGGAGGCGAAUGACUGAGGCGGUGGUGUGCUUACAGGUGGUGGUGGAGGAGAAUGCACUCGUGUCACGGGUGACUCGGAAUGCGGAGGUGGUGGUGGUCGUGAUGUUUGGGAUGACGCUACGGGUGGUGGUGGUGGUGAAUUGAUUGAAGGUGGGGGUUGAGAUGAUGAUCCAGAUGGUGGGGGUGGUGAGUACGGUGGAGGUUGUGAUGAAUGAACUGGAGGUGGUGGUGAGUUGACUGGAGGAGGUGGAGAAUAGACCGGUGGAGGUGGUGAUACUACUGGUGGAGGUGGAGAGCGGAGCUCUGGUUGGGAUGGCGACUGAGCAAGAGGCGGAGAGGCGAAUGCCUGUUGCGGUGGUGUGCUUACAGGUGGAGGAGGAGAAUGCACUCGUGUCACGGGUGACUCGGAAUGCGGAGCUGGUGGCGGUGAGUGCACCGGUGUCACUGGCGACUCGGAAUGCUGAGGUGGCGGCGGUGACUUCGCCGGUGCCCUGGGCGUUGGAGGCUUCGGUGAUGAUUUUGGAGGGGUUGCUGCCACCGGCGCAGGCGAUGGCUCCUGAGGUGGCGGUGUCACCGGGUUAGGUGAUGCCUUCGGAGAUGUUGGCGUCGCCGGCUUUGUUGAAGGUUUCGGAGACGGCGUAGCCGGCUUAGGUGAAGACUUCGGAGAUGUCGGUGUGGCCGAAGAGGGAGUGGAAGAGCUCGGAGAAGACCUACAUUUAUCUUUGCUGCAGUCCACAGGGCGACUCAACACCCGAUAACAGGUCUUCGCCGACUUCUGCCCGGGCCGCUUCUCAAGGCAAUUGCCCUUGUCGUCGAAAGCGACAUCAGACCCGGCCGAGGGCACGCACUCGGCGGCUUCGCCCUUGAAGUAGUUGAAGGAGAACGUGAAGUUGGUGAGGCUCGGCAAGCGACAGAGCUUCUCCGGUACCACUCCUGUGAGGACGUUGUGCGACAAGUCCAGGUCCUCCACCUUGCUCAACGCCGCAAAGCUCGUCGGGAGAUCGCCG